AACGCGAAGAACCUUACCUGGGCUUGAACCGCCGGUGACCAGCGGUGGAAACAUCGCCUUCUCGCAAGAGACACCGGUAGAGGUGCUGCAUGGCUGUCGUCAGCUCGUGCCGUGAGGUGUUGGGUUAAGUCCCGCAACGAGCGCAACCCUUACUCUUAGUUGCCACCCGCAAGGGGGAACUCUAAGAGGACUGCUCCGGAUAACGGAGAGGAAGGUGGGGAUGACGUCAAGUCAGCACGGCCUUUAUGUCCAGGGCUACACACGUGUUACAAUGCACGGUACAAACCGUCGCGAACCCGCGAGGGGGAGCUAAUCGGAGAAAACCGUGCUCAGUUCGGAUUGCAGUCUGCAACUCGACUGCAUGAAGCCGGAAUCGCUAGUAAUGGCGCAUCAGAACGGCGCCGUGAAUACGUUCCCGGGUCUUGUACACACGC
Molecule: ribosomal RNA, 434 nt
Filed under: uncultured Acidobacteriota bacterium
Lineage: Bacteria; Pseudomonadati; Acidobacteriota
Description: bacterial SSU rRNA
Rfam family: Bacterial small subunit ribosomal RNA
Source: RNAcentral